GGUAGAGGGACCGAUAAGGGCAAAAGUGGGGAGAGGGCGGGGAAACGCUUGGGGUGUUGUUUAAGAAGCAGCCAAAGGCAGCAUGGCCAGAAGGGAGGGUGGAGGCGUGGGGAGGGGAGGGGCCCAUCCUUCAGGAUCUCCGGGGCUGGGGAGGACCCAGCAUUCCUGGAAGCAGGUGGGAGCCACGGGAGGGGUCUGGGCAGGGCAGCGGUGUGAACGACCGACGGAGGCUCCAACAGGACUCUGGGAGGCGGCCACCGGUGAAGAAGACAUGCCAGUUAAGAUGUGGUUAUAUGGGAUGUGAUGUCUGGUGCCACAGCAGCCACUGGGACCCAUGAAGACGGGAGACGUGAAGAACCCAGAUAACCGAUCCAGGAAAAGCCCCACAUCCAGACUUCCUGUUCUAAGAUUUAAUUAAAUGCCUUCACCGUUCCAGGCA
Molecule: long non-coding RNA, 439 nt
Organism: Felis catus (domestic cat)
Lineage: Eukaryota; Metazoa; Chordata; Mammalia; Carnivora; Felidae
Exons: 2
Source: RefSeq, a predicted model, not a curated record